Molecule: ribosomal RNA, 446 nt
Filed under: uncultured bacterium
Lineage: Bacteria
Description: bacterial SSU rRNA
Rfam family: Bacterial small subunit ribosomal RNA
Source: RNAcentral
CCAGACUCCUACGGGAGGCAGCAGUGGGGGGUAUUGCACAAUGGGGGAAGCCCUGAUGCAGCGACGCCGCGUGAGUGAAGAAGCAUUUCGGUGUGUAAAGCUCUAUCAGCAGGGAAGAAGAAUGACGGUACCUGACUAAGAAGCCCCGGCUAACUACGUGCCAGCAGCCGCGGUAAUACGUAGGGGGCAAGCGUUAUCCGGAUUUAUUGGGUUUAAAGGGCGCGCAGGCGGAGGCACAAGUCAGCGGUAAAAUCGCGGGGCUCAACCCCGCUCCGCCGUUGAAACUGUGUCCCUUGAGUGCGCGAAGGGUAGGCGGAAUGCGUGGUGUAGCGGUGAGAUGCAUAGAUAUCACGCAGAACUCCGAUCGCGAAGGCAGCCUACCGGCGCGCUACUGACGCUCAUGCACGAAAGCGUGGGUAUCGAACAGGAUUAGAUACCCGGGUAAC